RNAcentral lists this unclassified non-coding RNA (3381 nucleotides) under Sipha flava (yellow sugarcane aphid). Its description in RNAcentral is "centaurin-gamma-1A, transcript variant X5". Lineage: Eukaryota; Metazoa; Arthropoda; Insecta; Hemiptera; Aphididae. The record is from RNAcentral.
UAUUUGUAUGAGCGUCUGAUUACAAUCCGUUGGCUCCGAGUGAUACGGUCGUCGCGCAUCCACAGCGGAAUGUCUCGCGGUCUAUGUUUUCCGUCUUACAUUCGUUCGGCUGUCGUAGUUUUCACGCACAUAUCCGUCCGGCCGACGUGAUCACAACGCAACCACGGUUAUUUCGAAGCAGCAGCAGGUACAACCACUCACGCACACGUCCGGGCCGUUUUGUCUGCGAGUUUUUUGUGCCGUUACACCCACGGACGCCAAACGCGGGGCCGGUGUUGUGUCGGUGUUGACAUUAUUAUUAUUAUUUUUUUCUUUGACCCUCUCAUCGUUUACCGAACCGUCGCACAUAUUUGUUUCAUCGUUCGUCGUCCGUCUGACCAUUACCACGUUUUGUUCUUGUCGAUCCAGUGAUGUGUGCGUGACGUGACCGAACCAUGAGCAACCGUCCAUCCUACUACCACAACCAUUCGUCGUUCUCCAACAAUUCCCUGGCCAUCUGCAAAGAAAUCCAGCGUUUUGAGAGCGUUCACCCGUCCAUAUACGCCAUUUAUGAUCUCAUCGAGCUCAUACCCGAUCCAAUUGUUGCUCAACAAGUCAGAGACCAUGUCGUUUGUAUUGAAGAUUCGUUUGUAAACAGCCAAGAAUGGACUUUGUCUCGGGCUGUACCGGACCUACGUCUAGGCAUCGUCGGUUCGUUAUCAUCCGGCAAAUCGGCGCUGGUGCACCGGUACCUGACUGGCUCGUACAUGCAGGAAGAAAGUCCGGAAGGUGGUCGGUUCAAGAAAGAGAUAUCAUUGGAUGGCCACAGCCACCUUUUGUUGAUCAGAGACGAGGGUGGUUCGCCAGAACUACAGUUUACUGCUUGGGUGGACGCAGUCAUAUUCGUGUUCAGCCUGGAAAACGAGGCGAGUUUCAACGCCGUAUACGGGUACUACACAAAAAUGGCACACUACCGCAACUCCGCCGAGGUACCGUUGAUCUUGGUUGGCACACAGGAUGCGAUAAGUGAAACGAAUCCUCGGGUAAUCGACGAUACAAGGGCCAGGAAAUUGGCGGCAGACCUUAAACGAUGUUCGUAUUACGAGACGUGCGCUACGUAUGGUUUGAACGUGGACCGGGUGUUCCAAGAUGCUUGUCAGAAAAUCAUUCAGCAGAGGCUUUCCACGUCCACCAACUGCCUGUCAGACUCCCGUUGCUCGACUCCCGCGUCCUCGUCAACCACCACUCCGGUCGGAUUAUCGUCCUCGUCAUACAACCACCACCAUCUGUCGUCGCCGGCAACUGCCGCGGCUGGCUCGCGGACCUUCUCGCAGGCCUCGUCGCCGUCUCCGACCGUGCACGGCGGCGGCGGAGCUUCGUCGCCAGCACAUCACGGCGGAGCGUUCAAGGAAUCUGUGCUCCGGUCCAACCUAUCGUCGACGCUAAACCGACAACCGCUGGAGCUCUCCAUAGCGCUGGACAACAACAACGUGUCGACGAAAAACACGGUGUUCGAUGGGCUCUCGGUACCCAAAGACUUACCCACGCCCAGUUCCACGCCCACGACCACCAGAAAGACGAGGAGACGGUCGAAUUUGUUCAACCCGUCCAAGAAAGAUGACAAGAAUCGGUGCCUAACCACCGGUGAGCUGGGCAGUGGCCGAGCGAUACCUCUGAAGCAAGGUUACUUGUACAAGCGCAGCAGCAAAGGCCUGAACAAGGAAUGGAAAAAGAAAUACGUUACGCUGUGCGACGACGGACGUCUGACGUACCAUCCGAGCCUGCACGACUACAUGGAAGACGUGCAUGGCAAAGAGAUAUCGCUACAGUACGUCACGGUUAAGGUGCCCGGUCAAAAACCCAGAGGUUCGAAGACGAUCAUGUCGUUGUCGUCGACCAAUCACCACCACGGCAGCAGCAACGGCAUAUCCGAACACAUGUCUAACAUAUCGAUAUCGAAUUUCCAAAUGAAAGACAAGCGGACGGCCGACAAAGUGAUGCUCACUGCUUUCGAACUGCUCAAAGAACCCAGCUAUAAGAACGGCGGUUCAGCUAAUUGUGACGAAUCUACUGUGGGAAUGUCGAACAUUUCAUUGUCGGUAAACAACGGUGAACUCAAAGCCGAAACGCCUAACGUGAAGAAGAGACACAGGCGUAUGAAAAGCAGCAACAUUAAGAAUCAGGAAUGCGAAGACACCGAUGGAUACGAAUUUUUAAUCGUUUCGUUGGACAAUAAACAGUGGCAGUUUGAAGCUAACAGUUCAGAAGACCGGGACGAAUGGGUCGCCGCUAUCGAACAACAAAUUCUCAACUCCUUACAAAGCAAUGAAAUUAUUAAAGUGAACGUCGGUGGUAAAUUCGGUUCGUCAUGCAAUCGCUCGGAAGACGUGCAGAGCAUCCGGACGCGGGUGCCCGGCAAUGGCCAGUGCGCCGACUGCAAUUCACCGAAUCCAGAUUGGGCCAGUUUGAAUCUCGGUAUACUCAUGUGCAUCGAAUGUUCGGGUGUGCACCGUAACUUAGGUUCGCAUAUAUCCAAAGUCCGGUCGUUAGAUUUAGAUGGUUGGCCACCGUCUCACCUCAAGGUAAUGAUGGCAAUGGGCAACGAUCUGGCGAAUUCAGUCUGGGAGUCGAACGUCCGACCCAAUCGAACCAAACCGAACCCGGGUUCGAGCCGAGAAGAGAAAGAACUGUGGAUACGCAGCAAGUAUGAAACAAAAGAGUUCCUACCGGCAAUAGCGCACACGGCCAACCUGUCGCAACAGCUUAUCGACGCCGUGUACAGAUGUGACAUGAAAGCACUCACGCUGGUGUUGGCCCACGCCACUGCUGACCAGGUCAAUUGCGUCGUCGGCCACCGAGACUUGCGCACGCCCUUGCACCUGGCCUGCUCCAUGAUCAACCUUCCUAUAGCUCAGCUUCUCCUAUGGUACAAAGCCAACGCCAAAGCGGUGGACCACGAGGGUCGGACGUGUCUGCAACAUGUACGGGCUGCUUGCCGCAACGGUUCAGCAAACGUCCAAGACGCUGGCCCAUUGACGGAACUUCUCGUGCAAAACGGUUGUCCCGAAAACGGCACCAGCACAUUAACGAGACCCUUGGACAUACUUCCGUCCAGCGUUAUCUGAUUCCUCGACGUACUGUUUAACGCUCACGCGCGCGCACACCAAUUCGUGUACUCUAGUAUUUAGCGUCUCCGUUAGAAUGUUUUGUGCGCGUGCGACGAUGCUUGAACUGUAAACACGUCCAUGUGUCUAGUCGUUUGUUCAAUUCGUUUGUACCAGGGUAACGACACAAAUCAGAUGGACAACCCACAUCGCGUCCGUGACCUGUAUUAUUAUUAUUGUUUACUAUUUUAUAACAAUUGUGUUAAUUGCUUAUUAUUUUAGAUUAGUAUUAUAUUAU